This 957-nucleotide long non-coding RNA is filed under the name Sorghum bicolor (sorghum). Its description in RNAcentral is "long non-coding RNA (SBIC_LNC013772)". The record is from RNAcentral. Lineage: Eukaryota; Viridiplantae; Streptophyta; Magnoliopsida; Poales; Poaceae.
UGCCUCAAGAUUAAUAAAGAGUAUUAUUAUUAUUAUGUCUUGUGUGUCUCUACUUUACUUUUGUGCAAGAAAGCAGAAAACAAGUAUGGGGGAGAUCCCUCGACAUGCUAAACACACUCCGACUACACCACUCCACGAUUCAGGUACACACUCUGCACACUUUACUUUACACAUACAUAUAUUUUGGAUUAUGCAGAAUAUUGUUUCCGACAUGAUAAAAUAAAAAGAUUAAAAUAUUUCUAAUCAUGAUUAAUCUCAAUCUAUGAUAUUUCCUGAAAACUUGCAAUUAUUAUAGAAUCAUUUUAAAACCCUAUGUUACUUAAGUCAAUAUGGAAUAUGUGAUGGUAGAGUAUGAGUUUCUUAUUCUUGAUAUCAUUGUUACUUGGAGAAUUUAUUUCAAAAUUCAAAAUUCUAGCUACCAUCCUCAGUGUUUUAUAUGCCUGAUAAAACUGAAAAUAUUAAUUAUGAUUAUAAAAGUUAUCUCCUCUAUAUUGAGUUUGUUCAAAAUGAGUUAGACCCUUGUUGAGAGAUUUAUCAUGCUCCUAAGAUCAAGACAUUUAUUCAGAAAGAUUCACUCUUCCGAAGUAAUAUUGCAUUAGAGGCAUGGGCUAUGCAAAAAUAGAGAUAUUUCGAGGAAAUAAAAAGGAGCAAGUGCUCGACAACCUCGCAGAAAAAAAUGGACAAGUGUCCGGCAGUAGAAUUAGGGGUACCUCGGUAUCCACUUAAAAAAAAGAAGAGAAAAAAUGAUAGCCCAUGGUCCCUCUAAUAAGCAAUAUGCCAGCAAGAGUUGACAAAGAUUUUAAUUUCCGAAGUCUUUGAUCUAAGAGUAUGACAUUCCCCUCCUCGGAUCCCGUUUUGAUCAGGCAAUAAAUGCAGAGUAAGUAUGCUUGAGAAUUUUUGCAAAUUAAAACAACCUCAGUGAGAUAUAUAAAAGAUAAUGAGUGAUCUGAGAGAACC